CCUACGGGAGGCUGCAGUCGAGAAUUAUUCACAAUGGGGGAAACCCUGAUGGUGCGACGCCGCGUGGGGGAAUGAAGGUCUUCGGAUUGUAAACCCCUGUCAUGUGGGAGCAAAUUAAAAAGAUAGUACCACAAGAGGAAGAGACGGCUAACUCUGUGCCAGCAGCCGCGGUCAUACAGAGGUCUCAAGCGUUGUUCGGAAUCACUGGGCGUAAAGCGUGCGUAGGCUGUUUCGUAAGUCGUGUGUGAAAGGCGCGGGCUCAACCCGCGGACGGCACAUGAUACUGCGAGACUAGAGUAAUGGAGGGGGAACCGGAAUUCUCGGUGUAGCAGUGAAAUGCGUAGAUAUCGAGAGGAACACUCGUGGCGAAGGCGGGUUCCUGGACAUUAACUGACGCUGAGGCACGAAGGCCAGGGGAGCGAAAGGGAUUAGAUACCCUGGUAGUC
This 446-nucleotide ribosomal RNA is filed under the name uncultured bacterium. RNAcentral's name for it is "partial 16S ribosomal RNA". It matches the Rfam family "Bacterial small subunit ribosomal RNA", at positions 338 to 795 of the family's 1533-position model. The record is from RNAcentral.